UAUAGAAUACUCAAGCUAUGCAUCCAACGCGUUGGGAGCUCUCCCAUAUGGUCGACCUGCAGGCGGCCGCGAAUUCACUAGUGAUUUCCGUAGGUGAACCUGCGGAAGGAUCAUUACUGAAAAACUAUUUUUAAGUUUUUUAUAUCCCAUUGUUUACCUACUCUGUUGCUUCCACUGGACAGGUUUUCACCCUUUGGCUUAUGUGAAAAACAUCUGCCAAAGAGUUGCCAGUGGUAAGACCAUUUACCAAAACUUGAUUUACUGAAAAACACAAUGUCUGACUGUUUUCCUUUAAUGAAAUAAAACUUUCAACAACGGAUCUCUAGGCUCUUGCAUCGAUGAAGAACGCAGUGAAAUGCGAUAAGUAAUGUGAAUUGCAGAAUUCUCGUGAAUCAUUGAAUCUUUGAACGCACAUUGCGCCCUUUGGCAUUCCAUAGGGCAUGCCUGUCUGAGCGUCAGCUCCCCCCUCACUCAAGUAUCCUUUUUCUUUUAUAAAAUGUUGAUAUUUGGAUUGCUUUGGAGAGGUAACUUAUGUAUUAAGUUGCCCUCCAGAAAUUCAUAGGCAGUAUGGUUUGUACUUAAACCAGACGUAAUAAUAAUAAAAUCGUUUUGUUUGGGUAUAUAAUUAAUUGUACUUGCCUUAAGCCCACCCAUUUUUAUUUUGGGUGACCUCAGAUCAGGUAGGGAUACCCGCUGAACUUAAGCAUAUCAAUAAGCGGAGGAAAUCGAAUUCCCGCGGCCGCCAUGGCGGCCGGAGC
RNAcentral lists this unclassified non-coding RNA (758 nucleotides) under Terfezia arenaria. RNAcentral's name for it is "sequence contains ITS1, 5.8S rRNA gene and ITS2". The stretch from base 304 to 458 matches the Rfam family "5.8S ribosomal RNA". Lineage: Eukaryota; Fungi; Ascomycota; Pezizomycetes; Pezizales; Pezizaceae. The record is from RNAcentral.